GAUGAACGCUGGCGGCGUGCCUAAUACAUGCAAGUCGAGCGAACGGACGAGAAGCUUGCUUCUCUGAUGUUAGCGGCGGACGGGUGAGUAACACGUGGAUAACCUACCUAUAAGACUGGGAUAACUUCGGGAAACCGGAGCUAAUACCGGAUAAUAUUUUGAACCGCAUGGUUCAAAAGUGAAAGACGGUCUUGCUGUCACUUAUAGAUGGAUCCGCGCUGCAUUAGCUAGUUGGUAAGGUAACGGCUUACCAAGGCAACGAUGCAUAGCCGACCUGAGAGGGUGAGAGGCCACACUCGAAAUGAGACACGGUCCAGACACCUACGCGAGACAGCAGUAGAGAAUCUUCCGCGAUAGGCGAGAGCGUGUCAGAGCACCGCGGCGUGAGUGAUAUAGAUCUCCGCAUAGUGAAACUCUGUGAUUAGAGAAGAACAUAUGUGUAAGUAACUGUGCACAUCUUGACGGUACCUAAUCAGAAAGCCACGGCUAACUACGUG
Molecule: ribosomal RNA, 497 nt
Filed under: uncultured bacterium
Lineage: Bacteria
Description: partial 16S ribosomal RNA
Rfam family: Bacterial small subunit ribosomal RNA
Source: RNAcentral